GCUGGGUGUGGUGGCGGGUGCCUGUAAUCCCAGCUACUUGGGAGGCUGAGGCAGAAUAAUUGCUUGAACCCAGGAGGCGGAGGCUGCAGUGAGCAGAGAUUGCACCACUGCACUCCAGCCUGGGUGACAGAGUGAGACUCUGUCUCAA
Molecule: non-coding RNA, 148 nt
Filed under: Homo sapiens (human)
Lineage: Eukaryota; Metazoa; Chordata; Mammalia; Primates; Hominidae
Source: Rfam by way of RNAcentral